RNAcentral lists this unclassified non-coding RNA (228 nucleotides) under Hevea brasiliensis (rubber tree). The record is from RNAcentral. Lineage: Eukaryota; Viridiplantae; Streptophyta; Magnoliopsida; Malpighiales; Euphorbiaceae.
CAAGAAAGUUGAAACCUAUUUUCUUCAUGCAGGAUGCCAUAUUUGAAUGUUGUUACUAAUCCUUUAAAUUUUCACCAAGUCUCCCUUUCUUUGCCUAGGAUAAAAGGAAUUUUUUUAUAUAUUAAAUAUAAAAAUACUAUUUAAUUUUUAGUGGGGAGUGCAAGCCCACCCAUUGAAAAUGUUUUAUGAAUAAAUUAUCGUUGCUACUUAUUAAGUUCUCUAUAUUUG